AUUGAACGCUGGAGGUAUGCUUAACACAUGCAAGUCGAACGGUAACGAUGCUAGCUUGCUAGCAGGCGACGAGUGGCGGACGGGUGAGUAACGCGUAGGAAUAUACCUAGUAGUGGGGGAUAACAUGGAGAAAUUCAUGCUAAUACCGCAUAUGUCCCAUGGGAUAAAGAGGGCCUCUUCUUGAAAGCUCUUGCUAUUAGAUUAGCCUGCGUCGGAUUAGCUUGUUGGUGAGGUAAUGGCUCACCAAGGCAACGAUCCGUAGCUGGUCUGAGAGGAUGAUCAGCCACACUGGGACUGAGACACGGCCCAGACUCCUACGGGAGGCAGCAGUGGGGAAUAUUGGACAAUGAGCGCAAGCUUGAUCCAGCAAUACCUCGUGUGUGAAGAAGGCCUUAGGGUUGUAAAGCACUUUCAAUUGGGACGAAGAGUGUAAGUUUAAUAAACUUGCACUUUGACGGUACCUUUAGAAGAAGCACCGGCUAAC
RNAcentral lists this ribosomal RNA (484 nucleotides) under uncultured bacterium. RNAcentral describes it as "bacterial SSU rRNA". It matches the Rfam family "Bacterial small subunit ribosomal RNA", at positions 30 to 501 of the family's 1533-position model. The record is from RNAcentral.